CAAGCGUUUUCCAUGAUCAAUUGGAGGGCAAGUCUGGUGCCAGCAGCCGCGGUAAUUCCAGCUCCAAUAGGAUAUAUCAAAGUUGUUGCAGUUGAAAAGCUCGUAGUCGUAUUUCUGGUGGGUUGAUGUUCUGGGCGGGGUGACGAAAGUUGCUCCGGGUCAGGGCCGCCUGCCAUUUUGUGGGCCAACGUGGCCAGGGGUGGUUCACUCUGCACCUGGUCGCGCCACUCCGUCACUGAGAGCAAAUUGGAGUGCUCAAAGCAGGCUUUACAGCUUUGAACAUCUCAGCUUGGAAUGACAAAGUAUGACUUUUUGUUCACUUUGUUGGUUAUGAAUGAGAAGUAAUGAUAAAUAGGAACAGUUGCGGGGGUACUCGUACUGGAAAGUCAGAGGUGAAAUUCUUGGAUUUUUCCACGACGAACGACUGCGAAAGCAUUUACCAAGGAUGUUUUCAUUGAUCAAGAACGAAAGUGCGAGGAUCGAAGAUGAUUAGAUACCAUCGUAGUUCGCACAGUAAACGAUGCCGACUCGGGAUUGAGUUCCCUUCGUUUUUAGAAGGAUCUCAGCACCGUAUGUGAAAACAAAGUCUUUGGGUUCCGGGGGGAGUAUGAUCGCAAGGUUGAAACUUAAAGGAAUUGACGGAAGGGCACACCAGAGGUGGAGCCUGCGGUUUAAUUUGACCCAACACGGGGAAACUCACCAGGUCCAGACAUGAGAAGGAUUGACAGUUUGAAAGCACUUUCUUGAUUUCAUGGGUGGUGGUGCAUGGCCGUUCUUAGUUGGUGGAGUGAUUUGUCUGGUUGAUUCCGAUAACGAACGAGACUCUCAGAGUAAACUGGCUUGGUCGUAAUUCGCGUUACUUCCGGCCUCUUUUCUCGACAAUUCGUUUCAAACGAAAGGAAGCGGAGAGCAAUAACAGGUCUGUGAUGCCCCUCGAUGUUCUGGGCCACACGCGCGCUACAAUGACGAGUUCAACGAGUUUUUUUCUCCUUGCCCGGAAGGGUGUGGGUAAUCUUUUCAAUGCUCGUCGUGAUGGGGCUAGAUUUUUGCAAUUAUUAAUCUUCAACGAGGAAUCUCUAGUAUGUGCAGUUCAUCAGACUGCGCAGAAUGCGUCCCUGCCCUUUGUACACACCGCCCGUCGCACCUACCGAUUGGACGAUCCGGCAAGAUGUUUGGAGUUGUGUCAGUUGGACUUUCGGGUUCGAUUGACGCGACGAAACUCCU
RNAcentral lists this ribosomal RNA (1224 nucleotides) under metagenome. RNAcentral describes it as "SSU rRNA". It matches the Rfam family "Eukaryotic small subunit ribosomal RNA", at positions 528 to 1759 of the family's 1831-position model. The record is from RNAcentral.